Molecule: long non-coding RNA, 1186 nt
Organism: Anopheles stephensi (Asian malaria mosquito)
Lineage: Eukaryota; Metazoa; Arthropoda; Insecta; Diptera; Culicidae
Exons: 2
Source: RefSeq, a predicted model, not a curated record
CACUCUACGCUACUCCUGAAUGCUCUCUCGUUCUAUGUGUUGGAAAUUCACACUUGUGGUAGAAUGUUAACCAGACAGAUCACAGGUAGAUAAACAGUUUUCAACUUGGCUUGGCUUGGUGCGCAUGAAAGUGGAUUAUAAAGCUUAAAAUUUUUACCGUGUGGCUAUUGAACGAGUUUAAGUGUAUUCGCAUGCGCGAAAGUGUUUGAUCGUACUAGUGCAGUGAACCAAAUAGUCGCUGUCCUUUCUUUCAGGAUGACGCAAGGAACACAGCAGCGAAACCAUAAUGACCGAAUUUGGCUGUCCCAAAAUCACAAUUGCUCGCGGGCCGCAAUGUACGCACUUUCCGCCCGUUCAACGCCCUCCGGACAGAAGAAGCCCACCCACGGUGCUCACCAUUCGACGCAACAUUCGUCCAACCCCAAACCGACAAUUGUUUGUGACGUAGUUGAAAUGGUCGAUAUCAAAUACGCAGAUAGUAACGCUCCCUCUGUCUCCCUCUAGCUCUCCCCCUCUAGCUCUCCCUUCAAACACGAAUGAUACAUUAUUGCAACAAGCGGAAGCGUAAAAUUCGGUACAGUACGGUAAGCAAAGCACACCACCACAAGGGAUACUGUUUGGAAAGGCGUUGUAAUUUCAUCCGAUGAUCAGCACCAGGACCGGGUGCCGUCCUAGCAAGACAGUUAAUCGGCGUAUUACAGAGCGCUCAUCCGUACCGUUCGACUGUUCGACCGUUCGGUGUUGGUUUUCUCGUUGGAGCCUUUAUAUAGAAUCAAACGCACAUAUUUAACAGGCUCAGGAGCUGGAGAAGUACACACAGAAACAAAAAAAAAACCAAGGGACUGUGACAUGCGUUUUUGGUUUGUUGCUCCACUGGGAGGACGAACCGAACGCUCGGACGACGAAAGGUUCAACACAAUGGAUGGGCAAUGAAAUUCCCCCGAGGGAGGGGAGUGGCACGGGGAAGUCAGAUGUGGGAGAGGUGUGGGGAAAAAGAGAAAGAAACCCCCCGGUUGGCCGGUUUUGUGUAAACGCAAUACAAACGCAUCACUUUCAUGGAUUAUCCCUAGACGGCGUUUCCAUCUCUUGGGCCGAUUGUUCAUGGUUCCUCAUAAAAUCUUCCUGAUGAAAAUCAUCCCUGAUUGUCAAACUUUUUAUAAGAGAAUAAAAAUUAUACUUCAAAGGA